RNAcentral lists this unclassified non-coding RNA (350 nucleotides) under soil metagenome. RNAcentral's name for it is "partial contains 5.8S ribosomal RNA, internal transcribed spacer 2, and large subunit ribosomal RNA". The stretch from base 1 to 120 matches the Rfam family "5.8S ribosomal RNA", at positions 35 to 154 of the family's 154-position model. The record is from RNAcentral.
GAUGAAGAACGUAGCAAAAUGCGAUAAGUAAUGUGAAUUGCAGAAUUCAGUGAAUCAUCGAAUCUUUGAACGCACAUUGCGCCCGCCAGUAUUCUGGCGGGCAUGCCUGUCCGAGCGUCAUUUCAACCCUCGAACCCCUCCGGGGGGUCGGCGUUGGGGAUCGGCCCUUUACGGGGCCGGCCCCGAAAUACAGUGGCGGUCUCGCCGCAGCCUCUCCUGCGCAGUAGUUUGCACACUCGCAUCGGGAGCGCGGCGCGUCCACAGCCGUUAAACACCCCAAACUUCUGAAAUGUUGACCUCGGAUCAGGUAGGAAUACCCGCUGAACUUAAGCAUAUCAAUAAGCGGAGGA